GGUAUGUACCACUUAGAUGAAACUUUAUUAAGAUAGAAAAAAGCAAGAAGAAAACGUGCAAGUUGUAAGGUUUCACUAAGCCUCCAACCUUAGACAAUGUCACAGAUACCACGCUGAUAUGUUUUUUACACUCCACAUUGCAGUAUCCAAUGAUGAGUCUAGUCAAACCCAAGAAACUUCUGAUUCCAAAGUGAAUGUAAUCCAGAUUUUUUUGGCUUCUUAUCAUUCUUCAGUCUAAUUUGGCAGAGCAAAAAGAUUUUCCCAUUUCCCUGCCACUUCCUAGACUCUCAUACUAGCAGUGUGUUUGUCAGGUAGAAAAUUUUGGUUUAGUCAAUGGACUUGCAAAUUUCAUUUGUAGGCUGCAGAUGCAUGUGAAUUGACUCUGGGAUGAAUAUUGACUUCCUUCCCUAUUUCACCAUUGACUUGCACCAUCGUCUUUAAACAAAUAAUCACUUACUCUGCUUCUGUUCCCUAUUGGCAAAGUUGAGACAGUGCUUUAGCGAUAGAGGUGGCUCAGUGACAUUAUGGCAUUAUGACAUUCAAUGAGUAAAACUUCUGCUACAAUGUACAAGCUUCUCUAUUUGGGCUCUAAGUGAAAUUAUGGUUCACUCUGGCAUUUGUUGCCAAAAUUCUACAUAAAAUUUCAGGCAACAUGAAUGGGCUGGGAAAUAAUUUCUGUAAUCUUAAUUUAAGUGCUGGAAGAAGGCUCUUAAUUUGAGUUACAAAUAUAUGGAAGGAAGAAAAACAUCUGGAAAAAACUAACAAGCUUUUAUUACAAUAAAUUUUUAUUUCAACAAUAAUUCAUGACCUAUUAAAAAUUCUUGAAUAUAAUAGGUAAAAUGUGAGAAUUAUAUUAUACCCUUUAUAUACGCUUUUACAUCAGCUCUGAAAUGAAGACAUGCCAGAUAGGGAAAAAAUGGUAGUAAAGAGAAAAAGGAUCUAAGACAUUAGAUUCUGUUCAUUUAGUAGUAUUCUCAAGUUAAUUGAGUGUCUGUUUGUAGGACCUUGUUACACCACAGUAUUUUCAGUUUAUCUUCAUUAUUAUGCUAGAACCCUCAGACACUUAUAUGAAAGGAACAGCCUAUUUGGAAGGAAGAAAUUUUCACACAAUCCAACUACUCCAGUAUCGUGGGAGAAAGAUGAAAGGUGUUGGCACUUGAUAAGGCAAUGUCUUCACUUAGCAGCCGGAGAACAAAUGUCCCUUUUCAGCAUUUGACAAUAUAUCUGCCUGGCAGUGAUUAUUAGCAGUAGGCAGUCCUACAAAAUACAAUUUCUUGAAAUUUGAGGGCUGUGUUUUCUUCAGCACCUGUCUUAUGGAAUUAUGUUAACUACGUGGUCUACAAAAUUAUUUCUUUCAAUCAUUUUCCAAACAGAUUCUAUAAUCUUCAUUAUAGCUUGUGGUGAUCUGGCAUUUUAUAAACAGGAAUAACUCCAUGAAUGAUAAGAACUUUCUGAUACCAUGCCGAAGAUGAGCUAGAUUUUUUUAAAUGGGAAAAUUUGAACUUAGUUGUGUACCUGGGAGUGAAUGUCAUAGUGGUCAAAACUGGUGAUGAUAAAUCAAAGAUCUAUAGUCACACAUCUGCAAAUAUACAAAGAAUGGUUGUUUAUAACUUCAGACUUCAGUGGGCUGCAGGAUUUCCGAGGUAGCUUUCUAUGUUCAUACAAUAUUAAAGUAGGGUUUUU
Strigops habroptila (Kakapo) is the source of this 1683-nucleotide long non-coding RNA. The record is from Ensembl. NCBI's taxonomy places the organism in Eukaryota, Metazoa, Chordata, Aves, Psittaciformes, Psittacidae.